Molecule: ribosomal RNA, 439 nt
Filed under: uncultured bacterium
Lineage: Bacteria
Description: partial 16S ribosomal RNA
Rfam family: Bacterial small subunit ribosomal RNA
Source: RNAcentral
CUACGGGGGGCUCCAGUGAGGAAUAUUGCACAAUGGGGGAAACCCUGAUGCAGCAACGCCGCGUGGAGGAUGACGCAUUUCGGUGUGUAAACUCCUUUUAUAUGUCAAGAAAAUGACGGUAGCAUAUGAAUAAGCACCGGCUAACUCCGUGCCAGCAGCCGCGGUAAUACGGAGGGUGCAAGCGUUAUUCGGAAUCACUGGGCGUAAAGGACGCGUAGGCGGGUUAUCAAGUCAGGUGUGAAAUCCUACAGCUUAACUGUAGAACUGCACUUGAAGCUGGUAGCCUAGAGUAUGGAAGGGGGAGAUGGAAUUAGUGGUGUAGGGGUAAAAUCCGUAGAUAUCACUAGGAAUACCGAAAGCGAAGGCGAUCUCCUGGGACAUAACUGACGCUAAGGCGUGAAAGCGUGGGGAGCAAACGGGAUUAGAUACCCGUGUAGUC